CGAAAUCUGCUAGGUUUGAGUCUUCCUGCAUCACUUCACACAUACCAUUGGCUUUGCAACCCAGUGAUGAUCUCUUUUUCCUUAUUGCUACAUACCAGGGACUUACAUUCAUACUUACAAUGUUUCAAAGGCCUAUACAUACACACAAACGAACACAUGAACUCGCUCAACUUUUGUUGAUAUUUUUCAAACUACAUGUAUUUCAGGGAAUUUAUAAGUGGAUCUGGCGGGCGUUGGAAGUUUUUAUGUUGCGUUAAGAAUAAAGCUGUCAUCCAUGGUCUUUGAUUUGGUUAAUGUGUCUUAUUCCUGGACGAGACACGUCUUCCAAACCUUGGUGUUACUCAAUAACUUUUUGACGAGUCUAACUCAUAAUCAAUUUGUAAGAUUUGUAAAACUUGAACCUGAAGUCUAUGUUUUAAAACGAUGUUGUUAUGUUUUACACUUAUGUAAUGGAUGACAAACCUAUGUUUUUAUCAUAUAGCAUUGUUAUGAUUGAUUACUAUGGUAUUAAGUAAUCACACCAAUAACCCACGCUUCCGCAAAAGUCAGGGGUGACAAAGAAUUUGGAUGACAAGCUGUUGGAAUGUAAAGCUAAACUAGACAGUCUUGACUCGUUGGUACAACAACCCCUUCCAUAGGCUAAUUAAGAUGAGUUAAGUUUUAAGGAUAUAGCUUUUCCUAUAAUACUUGAGAUUAGCUCGUUAAAGAUUACAAGACUAUGAACUUAGUUAGAGUGAUGACACACUUUAUAAUUAUUGACUUAUAUUAAAAUUUUCCUUCCUUUAUUUUCCUUGUAAUGUCUCAAAAGUUUUCUGAGUACAAAGUAUACAAUAAUUAGCAACCGAAUUCAAUAUGUCGCAUUGAUUAGUUUUUAUACACGAACCGUCCAUGUUUUGUUGGAAUCAAAGGGUUUUUUUUUUCAUUUUUUUGUUAAAAUAAAAAUUAAGAGACUCAAAUGAAACAAAUAUGAAACUUGAUUUUUAUUUUCAAUUAUAAGCUAAAAAACCCUUGAUUCCAACAAAACAUGGACAGUUCAUCUGUAAAAACUAAUCAAUACAACAUAUUGAAUUCGGUUGCUAAUUAUUGUAUACUUUGUACUCAGAACACUUUUGAGACAUUACAAGAAAAAUAAAGCAAGGGAAAUUUUAAUAUAAGUCAACAAUUAUAAUAAUAUAAUAAGUGUGUCAUCACUCUAAAUAAGUCCAUAGUCUUAUGAUCUUUAACAAGCUAAUCUCAAGUAUUAUAGGAAAAACUAUAUCCUUAAAACUUAACUCAUCUUCAGGGGCGGAACUAGAGGGAGGUCAAGAGGGUCCGCUGACCCCCAUGACAUAGAAAUUUGUGAGAUUUUUAUAUGUAAAAUAUGAGAUUUUUCUAGGAAAAAACAUGUUUUAGACUCUCUAGUUGUAGCCGGUAGAAAAGGGAAGCUUAUGAUGACCCCCUGACAGAGAAGUUCUGGUUCCGCCACUGCUCAUGUUAAUUAGCCUAUAGAAGAUAGAAGGGGUGGUUGGAGAAGCCUUUACAAAACAUGCAGAGAAAGAGGGUGCUGGGAGAUGGAGAGAAUGUUUAUGUCUGUGAUUUCAGGUAAUCAAUGUUGAAGCACAAGUAUUAGUAGAUGUUCAAGCAAUUGAGCAGGUUCAAGUGAUUUCAUCAAGUUUUUGUGACUUCAGUUUUCAAAUAUUAUCGUUUUCCAGAUUGAUCAACUUUUGGUGAUUUCAAGAUAGGUGUGUUUCAUGGCAAGGUCGUUUAGAGUACCUGGGGAUCAGCUUGGGAACCAAAGUCAUGGUUUCGGAUGGCCUUAUGGCCCCGUGGCGUUUGUUACACCAUUUAGUUUAGUUUUCCUGUAAAGAUCCCUGCAGUCCAGCUGAUAGGAGCUCUUUACUGUUGGCCUUAAUUGUGUGAUCAAAGUUUGACUAGAAGUGCAAGGGUUGAUUAUGCACUAGUUUAAAGUUAUUUAGACGGCGGUUACAAGGCGGUUAUAAAGUUCGGGGGGGUGAUUAUGUCAUUUCAGAAGUUUGUAACCACCACUCAAGAAAUCGAUGUGUCUCUUGGAGACACACCUCUAGAUCGACGGCCACAAGGAAGACAAGAAGAGACGUGACUUUUGGAUCAAGAGACGUAACUCUUCAGAAUCAUUCUCAACCACAUGUUUUAGCGACGUGACUAUUCGUGAAAGGACACGACUCUACACUCGCACCCAUUGAAGUCUAUAAAUAGUUUAGUUUUAGUUUGUAUUUUAGUAAUCUGGAAUCUUGUAUCUUGCAUCUUGUA
Long non-coding RNA from Helianthus annuus (common sunflower), 2268 nucleotides. RefSeq lists it as uncharacterized. NCBI's taxonomy places the organism in Eukaryota, Viridiplantae, Streptophyta, Magnoliopsida, Asterales, Asteraceae. The record is from RefSeq and is a predicted model, not a curated record. The transcript has 3 exons.